GACGAACGCUGGCGGCGUGCCUAAUACAUGCAAGUCGAGCGGACGGAUGGGAGCUUGCUCCCAGACCGUCAGCGGCGGACGGGUGAGUAACACGUGGGCAACCUGCCUGUAAGACUGGGAUAACUCCGGGAAACCGGGGCUAAAACCGGAUAACUCUUUCCCUCACAUGAGGGAAAGCUGAAAGAUGGCAUCUCGCUAUCACUUACAGAUGGGCCCGCGGUGCAUUAGCUAGUUGGUGAGGUAACGGCUCACCAAGGCGACGAUGCGUAGCCGACCUGAGAGAGUGAUCGGCCACACUGGGACUGAGACGCGGCCCAGACUCCUACGGGAGGCCGCAGUAGGGAAUCUUCCGCAAUAGACGGAAGUCUGACGGAGCAGCGCCGCGUGAGUGAUGACGGUUUUCGGAUCGUAAAACUCUGUUGUCAGUUAAGAACAAGUACCGGAGUAACUGCCGGUACCUUGACGGUACCUGACCAGAAAGCCACGGCUAACUACGUG
This 498-nucleotide ribosomal RNA is filed under the name uncultured bacterium. Its description in RNAcentral is "partial 16S ribosomal RNA". It matches the Rfam family "Bacterial small subunit ribosomal RNA", at positions 28 to 507 of the family's 1533-position model. The record is from RNAcentral.